RNAcentral lists this ribosomal RNA (136 nucleotides) under Danio rerio (zebrafish). The record is from RNAcentral. Lineage: Eukaryota; Metazoa; Chordata; Actinopteri; Cypriniformes; Danionidae.
UGCUGUGGUGACCCCUGAUUAACAAAGGGAGAGAGCCGAAAAGAAAAUGAAUGACUGUAACAUGAAGCUAAGCAGGGCUGCGCCCGGUCAGUACCUGGAUGGGAGACCACAUGGGAAAGCUAAGUUGCUGCCGGAA